RNAcentral lists this ribosomal RNA (433 nucleotides) under uncultured bacterium. Its description in RNAcentral is "partial 16S ribosomal RNA". It matches the Rfam family "Bacterial small subunit ribosomal RNA", at positions 29 to 507 of the family's 1533-position model. The record is from RNAcentral.
AGCGAACGCUGGCGGCAGGCCUAACACAUGCAAGUCGAACGAACUCUUCGGAGUUAGUGGCGGACGGGUGAGUAACACGUGGGAACGUGCCUUUUGGUUCGGAAUAACUCAGGGAGACUUGUGCUAAUACCGAAUGUGCCCUUCGGGGGAAAGAUUUAUCGCCAUUAGAGCGGCCCGCGUCUGAUUAGCUAGUUGGUGAGGUAACGGCUCACCAAGGCGACGAUCAGUAGCUGGUCUGAGAGGAUGACCAGCCACACUGGGACUGAGACACGGCCCAGACUCCUACGGGAGGCAGCAGUGGGGAAUCUUGCGCAAUGGGCGAAAGCCUGACGCAGCCAUGCCGCGUGAAUGAUGAGGGUCUUAGGAUUGUAAAAUUCUUUCACCGGGGACGAUAAUGACGGUACCCGGAGAAGAAGCCCCGGCUAACUUCGUG